GUAGGUGGCGAGCGUUGUCCGGAUUUACUGGGUGUAAAGGGCGCGUAGGCGGGAAUGUAAGUCAGAUGUGAAAUCCAUGGGCUUAACCCAUGAACUGCAUUUGAAACUGUAUUUCUUGAGUGUCGGAGAGGUAGACGGAAUUCCUAGUGUAGCGGUGAAAUGCGUAGAUAUUAGGAGGAACACCAGUGGCGAAGGCGGUCUACUGGACGAUAACUGACGCUGAGGCGCGAAAGCGUGGGGAGCAAA
This 246-nucleotide ribosomal RNA is filed under the name uncultured bacterium. RNAcentral's name for it is "partial 16S ribosomal RNA". It matches the Rfam family "Bacterial small subunit ribosomal RNA", at positions 527 to 772 of the family's 1533-position model. The record is from RNAcentral.